UGGGGGAUAUUGCACAAUGGGGGGAACCCGUGAUGCAGCGACGCCGCGUGGGUGAAGAAGCGCCUCGGCGCGUAAAGCCCUGUCAGCAGGGAAAGAAAAUGACGGUACCUGAAGAAGAAGCCCCGGCUAACUACGUGCC
Molecule: ribosomal RNA, 139 nt
Filed under: uncultured bacterium
Lineage: Bacteria
Description: partial 16S ribosomal RNA
Rfam family: Bacterial small subunit ribosomal RNA
Source: RNAcentral